GACGAACGCUGGCGGCGUGCUUAACACAUGCAAGUCGAGCGGACAGGCCCUGCUCUUGUGGCGUUCUCGUUUGGCGAACGGGUGAGUGAAACGUGAGUAAAAUGCCCUUGUCUUUGUGGUAAAAUCUGGGAAAUGGGGCUAAUACCGGAUAGGAGCUUCUGAUGCGUGGUGGUGAUAGGAAAGUUUCGGCGGUUGUGGAUGGACUCGCGGCUUAUCCGCUUGUUGGUGGGGUAGUGGCUUACCAAGGCUGUGACGGGUAGCCGGCCUGGGAGCGUGAACGGCCACAUUGGGACUGCGGUACGCCCCAGUCUCCUACGUGACGCAGAAGUGGGGAAUAUUGCACAAUGGGCGGAAGCCAGAUGCGGCGACCUUGCGUGCGUAAUGACGGCCUACGAGUUGUAAACAGAUGUCUACUUUGACGAAGAGUUAUUGACGGUAAUGGGUAAAAAAGCACCGGCUAACUACGUG
This 468-nucleotide ribosomal RNA is filed under the name uncultured bacterium. RNAcentral's name for it is "partial 16S ribosomal RNA". It matches the Rfam family "Bacterial small subunit ribosomal RNA", at positions 28 to 507 of the family's 1533-position model. The record is from RNAcentral.